GCAAACAAACUGGAGUUAAACGGCAAAGCCGGGGAUUUAAAAGACCACAAGUCACGUGCACAUUACAAUGGUGGAGCAGGAGAAAUCCUAAUACUGUCUUCGUGAGAACGCCCUUCUGGAUAUUUUGAAAUAUGUACCGAACUUGUUUAAAACGUGGUCUAGUCAGCAGAAAUCAUUAAUACAUCUGUAUCGCACCCAAUGCUCCCUCCAAUUUUGAAGCUUAUAUAACCAUAGUUUCCGUAAAACUCAAACACAAACACAAACACAAAAACACUAAUGGAUAAGACAAUGACAUUACUCUUGUUCUUCUUGUCAACCACUCUUCUCCUCACGGCCUCUUUAGCUAAAGAUCUCUGCCACAAAGAUGACAAAAUCACCCUCCUCAAAAUCAAGAAAUCGCUAAACAACCCUUACCACCUCGCCUCAUGGGAUCCCAAAACCGACUGCUGCUCUUGGUACUGCCUUGAGUGCGGUGACGCCACUGUUAACCACCGCGUCACCUCUUUGUUCAUACAAGACGGUGAGAUCUCCGGUCAGAUCCCCCCUGAAGUGGGUGACUUACCGUAUUUGAAGUCCCUCAUCUUCCGCAAACUCACUAACCUCACUGGUCACAUUCAACCCACUAUCGCCAAGCUCAAGAAUCUCACUUUUCUCAGACUAAGCUGGACAAAUCUGACCGGUCCAAUUCCUGAGUUUCUG
Molecule: long non-coding RNA, 699 nt
Filed under: Capsella grandiflora
Lineage: Eukaryota; Viridiplantae; Streptophyta; Magnoliopsida; Brassicales; Brassicaceae
Description: long non-coding RNA (CGRA_LNC001642)
Source: RNAcentral